UGGGGAAUUUUGGACAAUGGGCGAAAGCCUGAUCCAGCCAUGCCGCGUGAGUGAAGAAGGCCUUCGGGUUGUAAAGCUCUUUUAGUCGGAAAGAAAGAGUUGCAAUGAAUAAUUGUGAUUUAUGACGGUACCGACAGAAAAAGCACCGGCUAACUACGUGCCAGCAGCCGCGGUAAUACGUAGGGUGCGAGCGUUAAUCGGAAUUACUAGGCGUAAAGGGUGCGCAGGCGGUUUUGUAAGUCAGAUGUGAAAUCCCCGGGCUUAACCUGGGAAUUGCGUUUGAAACUGCAAGACUAGAGUGCAGCAGAGGGGAGUGGAAUUCCAUGUGUAGCAGUGAAAUGCGUAGAGAUGUGGAAGAACACCGAUGGCGAAGGCAGCUCCCUGGGUUGACACUGACGCUCAUGCACGAAAGCGUGGGGAGCAAACA
Molecule: ribosomal RNA, 427 nt
Filed under: uncultured beta proteobacterium
Lineage: Bacteria; Pseudomonadati; Pseudomonadota; Betaproteobacteria
Description: bacterial SSU rRNA
Rfam family: Bacterial small subunit ribosomal RNA
Source: RNAcentral